AAAAAAGUUACAAAGGGCGUACGGCGGAUGCCUAGGCUUUGAGAGGCGAUGAAGGACGUGAUAAGCUGCGAUAAGCUACGGGGAGCGGCACAUACGCAUUAAUCCGUAGAUUUCCGAAUGGGACAACCCGGCAUGUUGAAGGCAUGUCACCCAGCAAUGGGAGCGAACGUUGGGAACUGAAACAUCUAAGUACCAAUAGGAAAAGAAAUCAAUUGAGAUUCCGUAAGUAGUGGCGAGUGAACGC
This 244-nucleotide ribosomal RNA is filed under the name Escherichia coli. RNAcentral describes it as "partial 23S ribosomal RNA". It matches the Rfam family "Bacterial large subunit ribosomal RNA", at positions 1 to 260 of the family's 2925-position model. The record is from RNAcentral. Lineage: Bacteria; Pseudomonadati; Pseudomonadota; Gammaproteobacteria; Enterobacterales; Enterobacteriaceae.